CACGUGGGUAACCUGCCCUAAAGUCUGGGAUACCACUUGGAAACAGGUGCUAAUACCGGAUAACAACAAUAGCUGCAUGGCUAUUGCUUAAAAGGCGGCGAAAGCUGUCGCUAAAGGAUGGACCCGCGGUGCAUUAGCUAGUUGGUAAGGUAAUGGCUUACCAAGGCGACGAUGCAUAGCCGAGUUGAGAGACUGAUCGGCCACAUUGGGACUGAGACACGGCCCAAACUCCUACGGGAGGCAGCAGUAGGGAAUCUUCCACAAUGGGCGAAAGCCUGAUGGAGCAACGCCGCGUGAGUGAAGAAGGUUUUCGGAUCGUAAAGCUCUGUUGUUGGUGAAGAAGGAUAGAGGUAGUAACUGGCCCCUAUUUGACGGUAAUCAACCAGAAAGUCACGGCUAACUACGUGCCAGCAGCCGCGGUAAUACGUAGGUGGCAAGCGUUGUCCGGAUUUAUUUGGGCGUAAAGCGAGCGCAGGCGGAAAGAUAAGUCUGAUGUUGAAAGCCCCCGGCUUAACCGAGGAAUUGCAUCGGAAAACUGUGUUUCUUGAGU
RNAcentral lists this ribosomal RNA (550 nucleotides) under uncultured bacterium. RNAcentral describes it as "bacterial SSU rRNA". It matches the Rfam family "Bacterial small subunit ribosomal RNA", at positions 114 to 647 of the family's 1533-position model. The record is from RNAcentral.